UACCCGCUGAACUUAAGCAUAUCAAUAAGGGGGGUGACCUGAACUGAUGUUGAUUUACCAAGAAAAUGCGAGUGAAGCGGGAAGAGCUCAAAUUUAAAAUCUGGCGGCUUUCUGGUCGUCCGAGUUGUAACCUGGAGAGGCAUUGCCCGCGUUGGACCUUGUACUACUCUGCAGGAAGGCAUCGUAUAGGAGGGUGAGAAUCCCGGCCAUGACACGUACCGCCCGUGCUCUGUGAUAUGCCUUCAAACAGUCGCGUUGUUUGGGAAUGCAUCGCAGGAGGGGUGGUAAAUUCCAUCUCAAGCUAAAUAUUGGCGAGAGACCGAUGGCGAACAAGUACCGUGAGGGAAAGAUGAAAAGCACUUUGAAAAGAGAGUUAAAUAGUACGUGAAAUUGUUGAAAGGGAAACGCUUGAAGUCAGUCGCGUUCCGUGGAACUCAGCCUUACUUCGGUUCGGUGUACUUUCCAUGUGAACGGGUCAACGUCAAUUUUGGCCGGUGGACAAAGACAAGGGGAAUGUAGCGUUGCUUCGGUGUACGUGUUAUAGCCCUUUGUUGUAUACGCCGGCCGGGAUUGAGGACUGCAGCACGCCCUUGUGGCCAAGGGGUUCGCCUCUACCUACCGUGCUUAGGAUGUUGGCAUAAUGGCUUUAAGCGACCCGUCUUGAAACACGGACCA
This 675-nucleotide ribosomal RNA is filed under the name Ganoderma sp. M1. Its description in RNAcentral is "eukaryotic LSU rRNA". It matches the Rfam family "Eukaryotic large subunit ribosomal RNA", at positions 22 to 668 of the family's 3401-position model. The record is from RNAcentral. Lineage: Eukaryota; Fungi; Basidiomycota; Agaricomycetes; Polyporales; Polyporaceae.